RNAcentral lists this non-coding RNA (30 nucleotides) under Homo sapiens (human). Lineage: Eukaryota; Metazoa; Chordata; Mammalia; Primates; Hominidae. The record is from RNAcentral.
AACAGAGCCAGGGGACAGUGCCAAAGAUGC